UAGGGCAAGUCCUACUCUCCUUUACAAAGAGAACGUUUAUAUGUAAUUGUAUGUUUGAUUGGGGCAAUACUAUAUCUAUUUAUAUAGAAAAAGAACUAUAUUUAUUGAAAUAAUAAAAGGUUCGAGCAGGUUAACAAGCAUUAAUACUAAAUGUGUUUCAUCGUCUACUUAUUGCUAAAUUAUAAUUGAUUGUUCAUCAAAAAAGCAAUUCGUUAGUUGGGUUAAAAUCGUUGUAAAGCAGAUUUGUUUAUAUAUUUAAUUUUUGUAUAUAGUUAAAAAUUAAUAUUAGUACGCAAGGAUUCAUUAUUUGUAAUUUAAAUAUAUUA
This 326-nucleotide non-coding RNA is filed under the name Leishmania major. RNAcentral describes it as "Trypanosomatid mitochondrial large subunit ribosomal RNA". It matches the Rfam family "Trypanosomatid mitochondrial large subunit ribosomal RNA", at positions 239 to 561 of the family's 561-position model. Lineage: Eukaryota; Euglenozoa; Kinetoplastea; Trypanosomatida; Trypanosomatidae. The record is from Rfam by way of RNAcentral.